GGCAGUAAAAUUCAUUAGAGAGGAAAAAGCAGGAACAUUGAAUCGAUAAAAACUAUCAACCGCAUACCUAUUCGGAUAUUACGAGUGCAAAUCAAAUUAAUUUGGCUAACUAUUUAUCUAAGGUUACUAAAAUUUCAAGAUAUAAAUACCCUAGCGAUUGAAAAAACGUUCAAUACUCUCGUAAUUCGCGUUAAAGUUUCAGCUUAGAAUUUUUUUCAACCUAUAGCCAAAAAUGAAUUAAAUGUAUGUAUUUUUAUUUCGUUUCAAGAAUUAUGAAAUUUCAAGCCUUCAUUUGUUGCUGCUUUAUAAUUAUCCACGUACGAGAAAAUUCUCCGUGGGAAAAAGACACUGAAAAGGAAGUUUAAAAACAUGCCAAAAUUUUGGAUGGAAUAUCGUCAACCCACGACAGAUCAUGCCUCAGAAGCACUAUAUGUUUACACUUUAUUAUGAUAUUAGAAACAACCUAUAAGUACAAUAGAAAAACUAUAAGAUUCGAAAAUGAACAAUUGAAGAGCUACAGUAUUUAAAAACGUGUAAUAAGGAUUUAUCUGAAUAUCGUUUGAAUUUGGUGAGUAACUGGUUGUUUCGUGAGAUUGAGGGACGUGUGUAUAAGAACAACUUUUAAUAGGUACCUAGCUAUAUUAUAUUUAUUUGUUUCAGACCGUGUGCGAAACCUCUCUUACUACAUCUAUACGCGAUACGUGAAAAGAGUGAACUUUUAAGUGUGGUUAAUAGAAAUGAUCGACGGAAAUGAUGGAAUACUGUACAUUUCCGGGUACCUAUAUGGCUCCAGUGUACACCCAUGGAUCGUUACGAGAGGUUUGAUCAUAUUCGCAACAUGUGGAACCGGGGCUACGACAAUAAGCAGUUGCCUCUACAUGAAUUACCAAUAGCAAUGCCUCAAAACCGCCAAAAAAUAUCAUCUACAGCACACGUAGAACACGAUACGUUGGGCAAAAAACCAAUCGGAGAAAAAGAAAUAGAAUCCAUCUGCGAUUUAGGAGGAAGGGAUUCGAAAUCGAAAUUAGGCUGUAAGAUGAUAAUGAAUAAAUGGAUCCGUGAAGUGUCCCAAAACAGUAACAUCUACAGAUUAUCUAGUUAUUAUCCCUGAAGUUAUUUUGAGAAAUCAGAUUAAUUCUACGUUUUUCAGUUCUUUAAUUUACCGCAUAAAUUAAUCAGUAAAAUCUGCUCUAAAUAAAUGAUCUGAUUAAUAAAUACUAUAAAAAUUUCAAAUCAGAUCAUUUAUUUAGAGCAGAUUUUACUGGAUUAAUUUAUGGGGUAAAUUAAAGAACUGAAAAACGUAGAAUUAAUGCUAAGUAGAAGUAGAUUUGACCCAAAUAUUUUUCAAACUUUUAAUCCGAAGUGGUAGCUAAACACAUUUUGUUUAUUCUGUUAUCUAUUAUAGACAUAAUUUGACUCUCUAUUUAUAUAUUUUUAGAUAAUAUUUGACUGUUCAUUGUAAAUACAUGAGUAUUGGUCUUGUC
Planococcus citri (citrus mealybug) is the source of this 1484-nucleotide long non-coding RNA. RefSeq lists it as uncharacterized. The record is from RefSeq and is a predicted model, not a curated record. The transcript is spliced from 3 exons. NCBI's taxonomy places the organism in Eukaryota, Metazoa, Arthropoda, Insecta, Hemiptera, Pseudococcidae.